AAUGAACGCUGGCGGCAUGCCUAACACAUGCAAGUCGAACGAAGGCUUCGGCCUUAGUGGCGCACGGGUGCGUAACGCGUGGGAAUCUGCCCUCAGGUUCGGAAUAACAGCGAGAAAUUGCUGCUAAUACCGGAUGAUAUCGCGAGAUCAAAGAUUUAUCGCCUGAGGAUGAGCCCGCGUAGGAUUAGCUAGUUGGUGUGGUAAAGGCGCACCAAGGCGACGAUCCUUAGCUGGUCUGAGAGGAUGAUCAGCCACACUGGGACUGAGACACGGCCCAGACUCCUACGGGAGGCAGCAGUGGGGAAUAUUGGACAAUGGGCGAAAGCCUGAUCCAGCAAUGCCGCGUGAGUGAUGAAGGCCUUAGGGUUGUAAAGCUCUUUUACCUGGGAUGAUAAUGACAGUACCGGGAGAAUAAGCUCCGGCUAACUCCGUGCCAGCAGCCGCGGUAAUACGGAGGGAGCUAGCGUUAUUCGGAAUUACUGGGCGUAAAGCGCACGUAGGCGGCUUUGUAAGUUAGAGGUGAAAGCCUGGAGCUCAACUCCAGAAUUGCCUUUAAGACUGCAUCGCUUGAAUCCAGGAGAGGUGAGUGGAAUUCCGAGUGUAGAGGUGAAAUUCGUAGAUAUUCGGAAGAACACCAGUGGCGAAGGCGGCUCACUGGACUGGUAUUGACGCUGAGGUGCGAAAGCGUGGGGAGCAAACAGG
RNAcentral lists this ribosomal RNA (702 nucleotides) under uncultured Sphingomonas sp. RNAcentral describes it as "bacterial SSU rRNA". It matches the Rfam family "Bacterial small subunit ribosomal RNA", at positions 28 to 776 of the family's 1533-position model. Lineage: Bacteria; Pseudomonadati; Pseudomonadota; Alphaproteobacteria; Sphingomonadales; Sphingomonadaceae. The record is from RNAcentral.